Octopus sinensis (East Asian common octopus) is the source of this 129-nucleotide long non-coding RNA. RefSeq lists it as uncharacterized. The record is from RefSeq and is a predicted model, not a curated record. NCBI's taxonomy places the organism in Eukaryota, Metazoa, Mollusca, Cephalopoda, Octopoda, Octopodidae. The transcript has 3 exons.
GUUAUGUCGCGCGUUCGGAUGACCUCUGCCCAACUCCUCGACGUCUAGACUUCUCCCUCUAUAUCUACGUAUUGGGCUAGCCUACUUCAUCGUCUGGGGAUGUCGACACAACACCCUCAGUCAGGUCCA